Molecule: long non-coding RNA, 1537 nt
Organism: Labeo rohita (rohu)
Lineage: Eukaryota; Metazoa; Chordata; Actinopteri; Cypriniformes; Cyprinidae
Exons: 2
Source: RefSeq, a predicted model, not a curated record
GGUUCUUUUGUUUUUGAUAUGUUCAGUUAUAAGCUGUAUGUAUGUAAGUAGUAUAUUUAUUUUUAGUAUUUUUUUAAUUAUUUUACGGCUGUAUUUGUUAGUCUCCAAAAUAACGUUGCAUACUUAGCUUUAUAUAACUUAAGUCGAACAUGUCUAUAAAUUUAAUCUGAUGAACAAUUUCUGUGUGCACUUGAGGGAAACUGACUUUGGCAUUUUAUGUCAGGAUCUUUCAUACAAAUUAAGUCUUAAAUGUCCAAAAGCUUGUUGAGAUCACUGUAUUUUGGGGUUACAUUGUGUUUUGUUUUCUCAGUAAGCCUAAGGUGCAAAAGUAGGCCACAUUCUUGUAUAACACAGCAUAUUAAAUUGCUUUAUUGUAGCUACUAAAAUCAGAAAUCCAAUCUGAAUGUAAAAGGACUGAGUCAUACUUGUAUAACGUUUUUAAGUUUCUUGAGGGCUUCCUUGUAGCUCAAUGGAACUUUGUGAAAACUGUAUCCUGAGAACCUGAGCACGGAAUGUUAACCGUAACAGGAAAUUCCGAGAUUGGUAUUUACUGAGUUUGUGUGCUAGUGAACUCUGAGAAUCAAAACUGUGGAAAUGGGCCAAAGCACCUUCCAGAUUGGAUGUUUAUUCCACAUACUUUGCUUCUUUUCUAAUACACGGUGUUUUUGUAAACGCUUGACGUUACUAAUAACCCAUGUAUGAAAAACAUAACCCUGGCGAAUGUCUCGACACUUUCCGUACAUACGCAGGCAGUUCCUGGGAAUAAGGGUUGCAUGUCAAGUGAGACGAUCCAGGUGUGCCAAUAAUGCGCUAUUGUGUUUUACCAGAGCAAGGUGAGUAUGUUAAAUGCGACACACAUGUACAUGUUGAAGGUCUGGAUGGGGUCAUUAGCGUCACGCUGGUAACAAGAUCCUCCACGUGUGCUCACUUGGUUGAUUGGAUUCGAGGGGACCCUUUCACGGACUUGAGCGUAUUGACAGCUGGCUGGGAAAACUUGGCACGCUCCCGCGGCGAGAAUUGCUCGGAACGGGUAUUGAUUCAAAUCAGCGUGUUGACUAAUCGGACCUCGAUCUGCUCGUGAAGAGCUCCAGACGUGAGCGACCCGAGCUGGAUUUUGUGUAUUUAAUCAGCUGGGCCUGGGCCGGGAAACAUGGGCUCUCCACCGAGUAAUGCCGCCCUGGGGAUAUUGCGGUGCACUGACGGACACUUCUGCGCUCCACCAGGACCGUCAGCAAAGGGAUUUGCCUGGAUUUUGAUGGGUUUUCCCAAACUGGCGCAAAUGAUAAUAAACAUCACGUCCUGACGUGCUCCAUGGGAAGUAUCGUUUUGAAAAGGUUUGGACAAGUCACAGUAUCUUCUGCUGAGAACAUUCCCGCGCAAGUCCAGCAGGUGGCAAACUCUUCCCAUGACAUUCCCAAGCCUCCCAAAGGAAACGUUUGCAAACUUGGUCCACUUUGAAGAGCUUGAGUUUCACCAUUAUAGUCUUACAUUGUUUUGCAGUUCAUCAAGGUUAAAUAAAGAAUGUUUUUUAUGUAAA